RNAcentral lists this ribosomal RNA (253 nucleotides) under uncultured bacterium. RNAcentral's name for it is "partial 16S ribosomal RNA". It matches the Rfam family "Bacterial small subunit ribosomal RNA", at positions 524 to 776 of the family's 1533-position model. The record is from RNAcentral.
UACGAAGGGGGCUAGCGUUGCUCGGAAUUACUGGGCGUAAAGGGCGCGUAGGCGGCCUUCUAAGUCGAACGUGAAAUCCCUGGGCUCAACCCAGGAACUGCGUCCGAUACUGGAAGGCUUGAAUCCGGGAGAGGGAUGCGGAAUUCCAGGUGUAGCGGUGAAAUGCGUAGAUAUCUGGAGGAAUACCGGUGGCGAAGGCGGCAUCCUGGACCGGCAUUGACGCUGAUGAGCGAAAGCUAGGGGAGCAAACGGG